CAGCAGUGGGGAAUAUUGCACAAUGGGGGAAACCCUGAUGCAGCCAUGCCGCGUGUGUGAAGAAGGCCUUCGGGUUGUAAAGCACUUUCAGUAGGGAGGAAGGUAGUGUAGUUAACACCUGCAUUAUUUGACGUUACCUACAGAAGAAGCACCGGCUAACUCCGUGCCAGCAGCCGCGGUAAUACGGAGGGUGCGAGCGUUAAUCGGAAUUACUGGGCGUAAAGCGCAUGCAGGCGGCCUGUUAAGUCAGAUGUGAAAGCCCGGGGCUUAACCUCGGAAUUGCAUUUGAAACUGGCAGGCUAGAGUCUUGUAGAGGGGGGUAGGAAUUUCAGGUGUAGCGGUGAAAUGCGUAGAGAUCUGAAGGAAUACCAGUGGCGAAGGCGGCCCCCUGGACAAAGACUGACGCUCAGAUGCGAAAGCGUGGGGAGCAAACAGGAUUAGAUACCCUGGUGG
This 453-nucleotide ribosomal RNA is filed under the name uncultured bacterium. Its description in RNAcentral is "bacterial SSU rRNA". It matches the Rfam family "Bacterial small subunit ribosomal RNA", at positions 349 to 793 of the family's 1533-position model. The record is from RNAcentral.